GACGAACCUUGCUAACGUUAUUCGGAAUUACUGGGCUUAAAGGGUGCGUAGGCGGUGCGGAAAGUCGGGUGUGAAAUCCCCCAGCUCAACUGGGGAACUGCGCCUGAAACUGCCGUACUCGAGGAAGACAGAGGUACGCGGAACUUAGGGUGGAGCGGUGAAAUGCGUAGAUAUCGAGAGGAACACCUGCGGCGAAGGCGGGUAGCUGGGCCGACACUGACGCUGAUGCGCGAAAGCCAGGGGAGCGAACGGG
This 253-nucleotide ribosomal RNA is filed under the name uncultured bacterium. RNAcentral's name for it is "partial 16S ribosomal RNA". It matches the Rfam family "Bacterial small subunit ribosomal RNA", at positions 524 to 776 of the family's 1533-position model. The record is from RNAcentral.